AGAGUUUGAUCCUGGCUCAGGAUGAACGCUAGCGACAGGCCUAACACAUGCAAGUCGAGGGGCAGCAUUUCUAGCUUGCUAGAAGAUGGCGACCGGCGCACGGGUGAGUAACGCGUAUGCAACCUACCUUAUACUGGGGGAUAGCCCAGAGAAAUCUGGAUUAAUACCGCAUAACAUAUUUGAAUCGCAUGAUUUGAAUAUUAAAACUCCGGUGGUAUAAGAUGGGCAUGCGUAGCAUUAGUUUGUUGGUGAGGUAACGGCUCACCAAGACUAUGAUGCUUAGGGGGUCUGAGAGGAUAGUCCCCCACACUGGUACUGAGACACGGACCAGACUCCUACGGGAGGCAGCAGUGAGGAAUAUUGGUCAAUGGGCGAAAGCCUGAACCAGCCAUGUCGCGUGCAGGAUGACGGCCCUAUGGGUUGUAAACUGCUUUUUUACAGGAAUAAUUGUCGAUACGUGUAUCGAUUUGAAUGUACUGUAUGAAUAAGGAUCGGCUAACUCCGUGCCAGCAGCCGCGGUAAUACGGAGGAUUCGAGCGUUAUCCGGAUUUAUUGGGUUUAAAGGGUCCGUAGGCGGUUCUUUAAGUCAGUGGUGAAAUCCCAGAGCUCAACUCUGGAACUGCCAUUGAAACUGAAGAACUUGAAUAUGGUUGAGGUAGGCGGAAUACGUUAUGUAGCGGUGAAAUGCAUAGAUAUAACGUAGAACACCAAUUGCGAAGGCAGCUUACUAAACCAUUAUUGACGCUGAUGGACGAAAGCGUGGGGAGCGAACAGGAUUAGAUACCCUGGUAGUCCACGCCGUAAACGAUGAUUACUCGUUGUGCACAAUACAUCGUGCGUGACUGAGCGAAAGCAUUAAGUAAUCCACCUGGGGAGUACGUUCGCAAGAAUGAAACUCAAAGGAAUUGACGGGGGCCCGCACAAGCGGAGGAACAUGUGGUUUAAUUCGAUGAUACGCGAGGAACCUUACCUGGACUUAAAUGUAGAUUGACCCUCUUAGAAAUAGGAGUUCUCUUCGGAGCAAUUUACAAGGUGCUGCAUGGUUGUCGUCAGCUCGUGCCGUGAGGUGUCGGGUUAAGUCCCAUAACGAGCGCAACCCCUAUCGUUAGUUGCUAGCAGGUAAUGCUGAGGACUCUAGCGAGACUGCCACCGUAAGGUGAGAGGAAGGUGGGGAUGACGUCAAAUCAGCACGGCCCUUACGUCCAGGGCUACACACGUGUUACAAUGGCCAGUACAAAGGGCAGCUACCUGGUGACAGGAUGCUAAUCUCAAAAGCUGGUCUCAGUUCGGAUCGGAGUCAACUCGACUCCGUGAAGUUGGAUUCGCUAGUAAUCGUAUAUCAGCAAUGAUACGGUGAAUACGUUCCCGGGCCUUGUACACACCGCCCGUCAAGCCAUGGAAGCCGAGGGUGCCUGAAGUACGUUACCGCAAGGAGCGUCCUAGGGUAAAAUUGGUAACUGGGGCUAAGUCG
RNAcentral lists this ribosomal RNA (1471 nucleotides) under metagenome. RNAcentral describes it as "bacterial SSU rRNA". It matches the Rfam family "Bacterial small subunit ribosomal RNA". The record is from RNAcentral.